RNAcentral lists this unclassified non-coding RNA (182 nucleotides) under Glomeraceae sp. RNAcentral describes it as "partial contains 5.8S ribosomal RNA and internal transcribed spacer 2". The stretch from base 1 to 71 matches the Rfam family "5.8S ribosomal RNA", at positions 84 to 154 of the family's 154-position model. The record is from RNAcentral. Lineage: Eukaryota; Fungi; Glomeromycota; Glomeromycetes; Glomerales; Glomeraceae.
GUGAAUCAUCGAAUCUUUGAACGCAAAUUGCACUCCCUGGUAUUCCGGGGAGUAUGUCUGUUUGAGGCUCGUUAGAAGAAAAAUCGAAGCAUCGCCCCUUUUUCGAGGGUGAUCGCGUCGGACUUGUUCCGUCCUUCAAAUGUUAAUUCGUGUUAAAGUUGCCUAAUAUUUAUCCUUCCGGU